This 673-nucleotide long non-coding RNA is filed under the name Homo sapiens (human). Its description in RNAcentral is "non-protein coding lnc-TMEM62-2:2". Lineage: Eukaryota; Metazoa; Chordata; Mammalia; Primates; Hominidae. The record is from RNAcentral.
AUCAGGCGUAGCUCUUGGUAGCUGAAUGGUUGUAUAUCUGGGUUUGGUGCUGGGAACUGUUGCAUCUACGAGGUAAAAAAAACAAAGUCAGCGUCCAUUAUGAAAGGAAGAAAACUUGUCGGGGGCUAAAGCAAGAACCUGUCCUAGCUGGCCGGUUGUUGGCCUGGGGAUGUUUUGUAUCCCAACCUCCCUGCAGUAGUUCCCCAGAGCCUACAAAAUGAAAAAGAAAGUACUCACACAUCUUCUAUUUUUAGGAUUCUACCCCGUGGGCACUUGCACAUGUGUACAAAAAAAGCUCGGGAUCCAGCUUUAUUGGGGGACACGGGGGGAAAUAACAAAAAAUUGGAAACCUAGUCAUUCAUCGAUAGAGGAAAGACAAGAUAUACUAUGGUACAUUCGCAUUUUGAAAUACUGUGCAGCUCUUGAGCAAGAUAAAUCUGCGUGAAAAGAUCAAGAUAAAUUGAGAGAAAAAAAAGCCAAGUUGCUGCAAACUAUAUAUUUGCACACAUAGGCAUUUAAAUGUGAAGGAGUAAGUCUGAAAGGGGAAAGGGCAAAGUAGUAACUCUGAGGGCCAGGAUUCGGAUUGGAGGAAGAAGGUGGUCAAGAGCUACUUUACCUUCAUUUGUAUUUUAAAUUUUUUACAAAACAAAUAAUUUUAAAGUAUAUUUUUAAC